RNAcentral lists this transfer RNA (68 nucleotides) under Euroleon nostras. RNAcentral describes it as "tRNA-Glu". Lineage: Eukaryota; Metazoa; Arthropoda; Insecta; Neuroptera; Myrmeleontidae. The record is from RNAcentral.
AUUUAUGUAGUUUAAAAAAAACAUUACAUUUUCAUUGUAAAAAUAAAAAAAUUUUUUCUUCAUAAAUA